RNAcentral lists this ribosomal RNA (403 nucleotides) under Verrucomicrobiota bacterium. RNAcentral describes it as "Verrucomicrobia bacterium partial 16S ribosomal RNA". It matches the Rfam family "Bacterial small subunit ribosomal RNA", at positions 355 to 776 of the family's 1533-position model. Lineage: Bacteria; Pseudomonadati; Verrucomicrobiota. The record is from RNAcentral.
UGGGGAAUAUUGCACAAUGGGGGAAACCCUGAUGCAGCGACGCCGCGUGAGCGAAGAAGGCUUUCGAGUCGUAAAGCCCUGUCCUAUGAGAAGAUAAUGACGGUAUCAUAGGAGGAAGCCCUGGCUAAAUACGUGCCAGCAGCCGCGGUAAUACGUAUGGGGCGAGCGUUGUCCGGAAUUAUUGGGCGUAAAGGGUACGUAGGCGGUUUUUUAAGUCAGGUGUCAAAGCGUGGAGCUUAACUCCAUUAAGCACUUGAAACUGAAAGACUUGAGUGAAGGAGAGGAAAGUGGAAUUCCUAGUGUAGCGGUGAAAUGCGUAGAUAUUAGGAGGAAUACCGGUGGCGAAGGCGACUUUCUGGACUUUUACUGACGCUCAGGUACGAAAGCGUGGGGAGCAAACAGG